Molecule: ribosomal RNA, 381 nt
Filed under: uncultured bacterium
Lineage: Bacteria
Description: bacterial SSU rRNA
Rfam family: Bacterial small subunit ribosomal RNA
Source: RNAcentral
AGUGAACGCUGGCGGCAGGCCUAAUACAUGCAAGUCGAACGGCAGCACAGCAGAGCUUGCUCUGUGGGUGGCGAGUGGCGGACGGGUGAGGAAUACAUGGGAAUCUGCCCAGUCGUGGGGGAUAACGUAGGGAAACUUACGCUAAUACCGCAUGCGCCCUUCGGGGGAAAGCCGGGGACCGUAAGGCCUGGCGCGAUUGGAUGAGCCAUGUCGGAUUAGCUAGUUGGCGGGGUAAAGGCCCACCAAGGCGACGAUCCGUAGCUGGUCUGAGAGGAUGAUCAGCCACACUGGAACUGAGACACGGUCCAGACUCCUACGGGAGGCAGCAGUAGGGAAUAUUGGACAAUGGGCGCAAGCCUGAUCCAGCCAUGCCGCGUGAGU